AUGUGGGGCGCGAGUACUAGGGGAGUGGCAUCAAGGCGUGGAUGCGGGCCGCCAGGGCGCGGCGUGGACGCCGCGCGGGAAGGAACGCCGGCCGCGGAAACGGCCGUGGCGGCGACAAGAGCAAGUACUCCUGAAAGCGAAGCGAGGGCGACGGCGACCGCACCAUCUCUGCCUCAUCCAACCUUGCCUCUGCUUCGGACGAUACCUCUGGCUGGGAUGUGGCGGCGGCGCCAAGGUGCCAUGAUCCCCAGGAUGGAGGUUUCUGGGUGGAGAAGAAGCGCUCGGCGAUGGCAUCGGAGGACUCAGGGAGCGGGCACCAGACUUCAUCCCCGAUCCGCCGCCCACAUGGCAAACAGAAUAUCCCUCAGGUGCCUAUCCUAUCCCCUACCCCAUAUGCAAGUCGAAUGA
This 408-nucleotide ribosomal RNA is filed under the name Triticum aestivum (bread wheat). Its description in RNAcentral is "partial small subunit ribosomal RNA". The record is from RNAcentral. Lineage: Eukaryota; Viridiplantae; Streptophyta; Magnoliopsida; Poales; Poaceae.